Molecule: long non-coding RNA, 681 nt
Filed under: Salvia miltiorrhiza (redroot sage)
Lineage: Eukaryota; Viridiplantae; Streptophyta; Magnoliopsida; Lamiales; Lamiaceae
Description: long non-coding RNA (SMIL_LNC006192)
Source: RNAcentral
AAAGUUCAAUUAGGCCCUUAUAUUUUAUUAUUUGAAUUUAUCUGAUUAGGUGCGGCGCGACUAGGACGUUACUUUUAUUUGAUUUACUCAAGUUAGCAUACAAGUUGAAGUUCAAGUUCAAGUUCAAAAUUCAGGUGUGGGAUUUAUUUCAGUACAUGCUGUGGUUAAUCUUUGUCCAUUUUAAUAUUAUGUGUUUUCCAUAUGUGUUGUAAAUUCAGUUAUAUCGCUAGGGGCCCGUUCAAUGGGUCCAGGACUUCACCGUCCUUGGUAUGCCACAAUGCGAUUUCAUGUUACAGUUAUGGUUGCAACCAGUCGCCAGGGGCCGGCUCAAUCGGUCCAGGACGGAAAGGUCCUUGGUAUGCCACAGUGCGACUUUCAGUUACGAAUGUAUUGAUCAUAUGUGAUUCUCAUUUUAUUAACGUGGACAAUGAUUGCAUGUUCCCACACUGAGUGUACCCUGUAUGCUCAUCCCAUAUUUAACAUUUUCAGGUUUUUAAAGGCCGGAGGCGCGUGGAAGGUCGAAUGGCGAAUCAAAUAUUUUGAAUUUAGUUUUACUUAAAAAUGUUAUGUUUAGUAAAGUAUUUUUAAAUAAAAUAUUUAUUUCACUAUUUUCUUGUUAAAUAUUUAUUUAUAGUCAUGAUUUUCCGCGUGCGUUUUCAUUUAAAAUUAAAAUGGAUUUGG